AGGAAUUGGCGGGGGAGCACCACAAGGGGUGAAGCCUGCGGUUCAAUUGGAGUCAACGCCGGAAAUCUUACCGGGGGCGACAGCAGUGUGAAGGUCAAGCUGAAGACUUUACUCGACAAGCUGAGAGGAGGUGCAUGGCCGUCGCCAGCUCGUGCCGUGAGGUGUCCUGUUAAGUCAGGUAACGAGCGAGACCCCUACCGCUAGUUGCUAUCGCUACUCUCAGGAGUAGCGGGGCUAAUUAGUGGGACCGCCGCCGCUGAGGCGGAGGAAGGAGGGGGCUACGGCAGGUCAGUAUGCCCCGAAACCCUCGGGCCACACGCGGGCUGCAAUGGUAAGGACAAUAAGUUCCUAUUCCGAAAGGAGGAGGUAAUCUCCAAACCUUACCUCAGUUAUGAUUGAGGGCUGAAACUCGCCCUCAUGAAUAUGGAAUCCCUAGUAACCGCGUGUCAUUAUCGCGCGGUGAAUACGUCCCUGCUCCUUGCACACACCGCCCGUC
RNAcentral lists this ribosomal RNA (496 nucleotides) under uncultured crenarchaeote. Its description in RNAcentral is "bacterial SSU rRNA". It matches the Rfam family "Archaeal small subunit ribosomal RNA", at positions 860 to 1354 of the family's 1478-position model. The record is from RNAcentral. Lineage: Archaea; Thermoproteati; Thermoproteota.